This 253-nucleotide ribosomal RNA is filed under the name uncultured bacterium. RNAcentral describes it as "partial 16S ribosomal RNA". It matches the Rfam family "Bacterial small subunit ribosomal RNA", at positions 524 to 776 of the family's 1533-position model. The record is from RNAcentral.
UACGAAGGGGGCUAGCGUUGCUCGGAAUCACUGGGCGUAAAGGGUGCGUAGGCGGGCCUUUAAGUCGGUGGUGAAAUCCUGGAGCUCAACUCCAGAACUGCCUCCGAUACUGGAAGGCUCGAGUCCGGGAGAGGUGAGUGGAACUGCGAGUGUAGAGGUGAAAUUCGUAGAUAUUCGCAAGAACACCAGUGGCGAAGGCGGCUCACUGGCCCGGUACUGACGCUGAGGUGCGAAAGCGUGGGGAGCAAACAGG